This 1244-nucleotide long non-coding RNA is filed under the name Solanum tuberosum (potato). RNAcentral describes it as "long non-coding RNA (STUB_LNC000791)". The record is from RNAcentral. Lineage: Eukaryota; Viridiplantae; Streptophyta; Magnoliopsida; Solanales; Solanaceae.
AGUCCAAAGUGAACUCGGAUUGGUAUCACAUGCAAAAAUAAACAAAUUAGCAGGGGGGCUCCACUUUCUCAAAAUUUAACAAAAAAUGCACUCUAGACUAUCAAGUAGCACAGCUAAAUAGCAUUAAAGGCAAAGACCGUGUACUCCAAUAGACAAUUAUUCUUAAAUAAUGGAGAACCCAAUGUAUGAGCAAGAAGACGACACUUAAAUCUUUCAUGCCACACAUUCAAAUUAAUAUAGGAACUCAAGUCAACUUAACACAAAAAUAUAAAAUAAAAUUUAAUCACCAAGUAUAGAUUGAUCACAGAAUCAUAAAUAUCUAAUGACAAAAAGGCAUAUCACAAAGUUUAUAAAGAAAAACAAAGACCAGGACUUCCUUUUCUCAAGAUAAGGACCACACCUUUUCAGUGGCAUUGUUGCCCAAAUUUAGUAAAAGACAUUACAGACAAAUUUGUCUUAUACUACAGAUGCACCUACUUAAAGGAAAACAAACUUUGACAAGACCAAGCUUCAAAGGGAUUAGAAGAGAUCGAGAAAAUGAGAAAGCCAACAUGCCAGGAUGAUCCUAAAAAGAGAGCAAGACAACGAAAUUUGAAAAAAAAUAGAACAAAAGACAGAGUAAACUAGAAUCUGGAUAGUAAUAUGACUUCCCACCUUAUGAGCUCAGUUCUACAAAUGGUAAGCACUUUCAACUGAAAACUUGGGCAUAUAGAAACAUAAAUUCGAUUCAAACAAGACAUGAUAAGCAGUAGAAUGAUCAGAGGAUUUAUAAACAAAGAAAAACGAAAUACUAUAUCAGCAAGCCAUAGACGAAACAACAUACAAGUUCCACAUCAAUUCGCUAAAGAUUCUGCCCCCUAUUCACUGUCACGAUUCGAAGGAAAUCGGAAAUAAAGAAAAUUAUACCAACGGGAAGAGCUGAAUACACUUAAGACAGAACUUACAGCCAACGUUAAUCAUACAACACACAUGAAUCUCAUCUCGAAGACGGAAAAGAGACAAAAACAUUAUGAAAGAGAGAGCAUUUUACCUUUUCGAGGGCAGCGAGCUGAGACUAGACGAGUAAGAGAUCAGCGAGCUUCCACGACUUCAAACACAACUCCGGUAAACACACGUGAACAGAGAAAUGAUGCAAAGACUCAAACCCAGAUUGAACUCUCACUCUCUCAGCUUAGUAUCCCAAAUAUUUAUCUAUGAAUCUCUAUAGCUAGUAGUUUCUUUGUAUUUAUCUCGAAUUCUCCCUA